AUAUCAGUAAGCGGAGGAAAAGAAACUAACAAGGAUUCCCUUAGUAAUGGCGAAUGAAGAGGGAAAAGCUCAAUUUUUAAAUCUGUGAGGUUUCCUCACCGAAUUGUAGUAUAUAGAAAAUAUUUUCUAGUAAUAAAUUUUGAUAAAAGUCCUUUGGAAAAAGGUAUCAUAGAGGGUGAUAAUCCCGUCUUUGAUCAAAAUUUUAUUACAAUAUGAUAUAUUUUCAAAGAGUCGGGUUGUUUGGGAGUACAGCCCUAAAUGGGUGGUAAAUUUCAUCUAAAGCUAAAUAUUGGCAAGAGACCGAUAGCGCACAAGUA
RNAcentral lists this ribosomal RNA (317 nucleotides) under uncultured eukaryote. Its description in RNAcentral is "partial large subunit ribosomal RNA". It matches the Rfam family "Eukaryotic large subunit ribosomal RNA", at positions 40 to 350 of the family's 3401-position model. The record is from RNAcentral.